This 255-nucleotide ribosomal RNA is filed under the name uncultured bacterium. Its description in RNAcentral is "partial 16S ribosomal RNA". It matches the Rfam family "Bacterial small subunit ribosomal RNA", at positions 524 to 776 of the family's 1533-position model. The record is from RNAcentral.
UACGUAGGCAGCAAGCGUUGUUCGGAGUUACUGGGCGUAAAGGGCGCGUAGGCGGUUCGAUAAGUCCCGUGUGAAAUCCCUCGGCUCAACUGAGGAAUGGCCACGGGAAACUGACGGGCUUGAGUUCGGGAGAGGGAAGCGGAAUUCCGGGUGUAGCGGUGAAAUGCGUAGAUAUCCGGAGGAACACCGGUGGCGAAGGCGGCUUCCUGGACCGACACUGACGCUGAGGCGCGAAAGCUAGGGGGAGCAAACGGG